CUCAGACAAACAACAGCAACUUGAACUGCACCAGUUAAGCUGAAGCUCAGUUCAGAAUGAAGAUCAUCAUCACCUUCUGCCUGAUCACAGGUCUAGUGAGCAGCACUAAUGUGAUAAGCUACUCUGGGGGCAGUGUAAUAAUGACCAUGGGUGAUCGUCAUCGGUGGAGCUCACACACUCCAAAGUAUAUCUGCAAGUUUGCAGGAGGUGCCUGCAAAACUGUAAUACAGUCUACUGCUCAAAAUGAUACUGUUUUUGAAGGAAGGUUCUCGCUGUAUGAAAGUAAACAAGGACAUUUCGGAGUGUUAAUCAGAGAGCUGAACCCACAGGAUGCUGGAAAAUACCGAUUUGGAUUGGCUAAUAAUUGGAAUCGGGAAAUAAAUCUGAAAGUUCACCAUGAUGCUUGUUGUGGGAUGUCAAUGACAGUGGUUGGACAUCUGAACAAGGAUGUCAGCAUCAGUUGUGACUAUACAGUGGAACAUAAGAGAACAUGGAAGUACUUCUACAAACUGAAAGGUCACUCAGCUGAUUAGGUCAUUUUUACGAUGCCUGACAAAAACCACAAAGAAAAUCAGUUUUACAUCACUGAUGAUAAUCGUUUAAACCUUUUCACCAUGACCAUCCGUGAGUUGAAAGAAGAGGAUGGUGGGGUUUAUUUCUGUGGCACACAGACCUGGGAAUAUCCAAUCAAAGUGUUCUCUACAAUCAAAACUGUACAUCUCCAUGUUACUGGUGAGAUAAACAUGAAGUCAUCUAUUAGCAGUGGUGAACUGUGAUUAUUAGAGCUGGGCUUUCAGUUUAGGACUUUACAAAAGUCAAAACUUGUAGUAAUAGCCUGUAACAGACCUGAUUAGAAGACUUUUAAAGCUUGAAAAACAAUUUGCACAUUUUUUAUUUGAGGCUUGUAAAAGACAUUAACAUAUAGACAAAAAAUGAGCCACCUUGCAUGUUUAAGGUGGUAGUAGUAGAAGGAAAGGUCACCAGUUUUAUUCUGUGAAGGAUCUAGAACUUCUGGAAGUUUUUUUUUCCAUCCAUCCAUUUUCUAAGCCGCUUCUCCCUCAGAGUCGCGGGGGGGGGGUGCUGGAGGCUAUCCCAGUGGUCAUUGGGAGGAAGGCAGGAUACACCCUGGACAGGUCGUCAGCCCAUCGCGGGGCAGACAGACAGACAGACACAGACAGUCACUCACACCUAGGGGCAAUUUAGCACGUCCAAUUGGCCUGUUUUUUUUUAAUCCAAUUGCAAAUUGAAAUACCAUUGGUCGAUUCAUUCCUGUGUCUUUCUAAUUAUGUUAGUAGUUUAUUUAAAUUUUAAGGCCUUUAUUCCAGCUCCUGAAGUCCAAACCAGGGUAAAAUCUAGCUUAGCUGUAUUUAACUAGAUACCAAAAAUGUAUCGUAAAAUAAUAGUUUUACUAUAAUGCAAGUAGUCUUUAAAUACAUCAAAUAUGAUGAUUCUAUUAAAUAAAAAGACCUUAAAAUUACAGACUUGAAAUCACCUGACUUUCUCUGAAGGUCUAGAAAGUUCCACUGUUAUUUACUUUAUGGACUUGCUGAUGAGAUUCUAAUUGGUGUUUAACUUGACAGAUAAAGUUCAGAGUUCAGUCAGAGUGACUGGCUUCUUACGAGGACGCAUCAUGUUGAAAUGGGAAAUUUUUGUUAAGAAUUGCUUUUAUAGGUGUUUUUUUUUUCAAGUAAGAAGCGAUAACUAUAGCAAACGUACAGACACCAAUUCAUCCACACCAGUCAUAUUGGUAUCAGCACAGAUAUCGGCACUUAAACACAGUAUCGGUAUUGCUAAUAGGGAUACCGAUACCAUGCAGCAAUUUCCUCUCUCUCUCUCUCUCUCUCUCUCUCUCUCUCUCUCUCUCUCUCUCUCACUCUCUUUCUCGCUCUCUCUCUCUCUCUCGCUCUUUCUCUCUCUCUCUCGCUCUUUCUCUCUCUCUCUGUGGUUUACUCCUCUUCCUUUCACAGAUGUUCAUCCUUAAAUGACAUGCCGGCAGUCAGUCCAGAGGUGCACUCUCAGAAAAAACUGUCACUGGUGUGGUUCCCUCAAGGGUACGUCUCCAGUUCCUUUAUUUAGGAACCAUAUUUGUACUGAAUUACAUUGCAGUUAUAUUUUUUAAGUUGCUUUGACUCUAUACACCAUGUAUCGUCUCCA
This is a long non-coding RNA of Pygocentrus nattereri (red-bellied piranha), 2154 nucleotides long. NCBI's taxonomy places the organism in Eukaryota, Metazoa, Chordata, Actinopteri, Characiformes, Serrasalmidae. The record is from Ensembl.